This 530-nucleotide ribosomal RNA is filed under the name Paroedura sanctijohannis. RNAcentral's name for it is "partial 16S ribosomal RNA". It matches the Rfam family "Bacterial large subunit ribosomal RNA", at positions 1807 to 2566 of the family's 2925-position model. The record is from RNAcentral. Lineage: Eukaryota; Metazoa; Chordata; Lepidosauria; Squamata; Gekkonidae.
UCAAAAACAUCGCCUUUAGCCCCACAAGUAUUAAAGGUCCAGCCUGCCCAGUGAACCACUUUAACGGCCGCGGUACCCUAACCGUGCAAAGGUAGCGUAAUCACUUGUCCCCUAAUUAGGGACCAGUAUGAACGGCUACAUGAGGGCCAAACUGUCCCCUACAGCCAGUCAAUGAAACUGAACUUUCAGUUAAAAAGCUGAAAUAAGCACAUAAGACGAGAAGACCCCGCGGAGCUUUAAGCAACCUACUACACCAACCAAAAGGCCGCCACGGCCCUAAAACCCCCACCACAGUAUAGUAAAGCUUUUAGUUGGGGCGACUACGGAGCAAAAUAAAACCUCCACGAAUAGGACCUCCAUCCAUUCCAGGCCAACAAGCCAAAAAUAAUACAAUUCUGACCCAGCCAAGCUGAUCAUCGAACCAAGUUACCCCGGGGAUAACAGCGCCAUCCUCUUUCAGAGUCCCUAUCGCCAAGAGGGCUUACGACCUCGAUGUUGGAUCAGGGCCCCCAGGCAGUGCAGCCGCCGCC